CUCUUCUCAGCAAAAGGCAGAACUGAGCUUCUGAAGAUCAAUCUUCGCGAGGUCGAGCUCGACCCUGAUAUUCAGCUGGAAGAUAUAGCAGAGAAGAUUGAAGGCUAUUCUGGUGCUGACAUCACUAAUGUGUGCAGGGAUGCCUCUUUGAUGGCGAUGAGGCGGCGCAUCAAUGGCUUGAGCCCUGAAGAGAUCCGGGCCCUUUCUAAAGAGGAGCUUCAGAUGCCCGUCACCAAGGGAGACUUUGAGUUGGCUCUGAAGAAGAUCGCCAAGUCUGUCUCGGCUGCCGACUUGGAGAAGUACGAAAAAUGGAUGGUGGAAUUUGGAUCUGCCUGAAUUUCUGCCAGCUCUUUCAGUCCUGAGGUUUUUGUUUCUAAAAUGCAAAGAAGUUCCUGCAGUUUUUUAAAAUGGGAAUUUGGGGGAUUUUUCACGGUAGAGAUUUUCACUUGAAGAAAAGAUCUAAAACCACAAAGAAUACAAAAUGUAGUUGAGAAAUAAGCAGAGCUUAGGGCCCGAUCAUCCCCUGCUGUGCUGGGGUCCCAGCAUUCCUGCAUGAACACCACCUGCUGGAGCCUGCCCAUCAGGAAGGCCGAGGAAAUGAGCAGUGUGCUUGUGCUGUGUUAGGGACUUGUUUACAGAAGACAGAAAAGAACCUGCGUUUCCCACUUGAAUUUGUUUGUCUGUUUUUUCAGUUAUUUGCUCUGUCAGCAUGAAGGACCUAUCUAUAUAUGUUGGGUUUUAACAUCAAAACUGGGUUUGUGUAGAAUUCCUUAUUUGUUGAUAAGAGAGCAGUAAUAGUCUGUCUUGGAGAAGUAAUGACUUUGCUCGUUCAACCUUUAAAAUUCAUUGAUUAUCUACUAUCAGAGUCGGUCAUAUGGCUAGAAUCCCCCCUUCUACCUGCUAUAUAACCAUUUUUCGAGCUAUAGCCUUGUUUUCCAAUUCUUUCAAUAUCCUCAUGAAGGUGGGGAGAAUAUUAUGAUCGCGUUAGAUACACGUCUUCAUUCUGGACUUCUGAGUUCGUUUUUACUUUUCUUGUGAUAUGCUCAACACAUACAGCCAUUAUUUUUCACAACUCCAAUCUUGUUUGAUAUUGUUGAAUUUGACUUUAGUAUUUGAGAUAAAUACUUUGGCAUUCUAAACAAGUACACUCUCUGCGGCUGAUCCAAGCCAAACAAUAUCUUUAGUUUUCCAGACAGCUUGUUUAAUAAAACAGCAGCACACAUAGCAGAUCAGGUUCAUUUGAAAUUUCACAGUUCUUCCUUGUCCACAGGUUGAGAACUCUUGUACAUGGUAAGAUGAGGAUAAAAAUCUGGCAUGCUUUCUCAGUUCUGUAGGAAUUAGACAGUAGAAAAAAGCCAGGAAAAGUAAAUGGCUUAGAUCUCAUGACAGUAAAGUGUUCUGGUGUUAGUUUUUAUAAUUACAUGUGUCCUAUUUUGAUUACUAGGCAAUCCGUACUUUAAUGGUCAAGCUUCUUAACAUUUGUAUUUGAUGACAUUCUGAAUUCUCAAUUUUGGAUAGCACCUACUGGUUUAAAGCUAAAAGUAACAUAACUUUUUAGACACAUUUAAAAAAAGCUUUUUAGAAUCUUGCUUAAGAUAUUUGAUUUUUUUUUUCCCACUUAGAACUACAAAUGCCUUAUGUUCUUUUCAGUUAAGUCUAUUUACACUCUUGUUUUCAUCUGAGGCUAUAAAUUGCACUUUUUCCUCUAAGGCACGGAUUAUAAGACUUCAAAUUGAAGUGAGAGAAGUUUCUUUUUAUUCAUGAACUUUUAUUUAUUUUAGAUUUCAGGGGUACACGUGCGGGUGUUUUGCAUAGGUACGUUGCAUGACGGUGAGGGUUGAGCUUCUCUUGAGCCUGUCACCCAGGUGGUGGGUGUGGUACCCAGUGUAAAGUCGUCUUUACCCCCCUUGCCACCUCCCCACUUUAGGAGUCCCCCAUGGUAUUCAGUGUUUAACUCCCAUUUACUAGGGGAAACGUGGUAUUCAGUCUUCUGCUUCUGUGGUAAACUACAUCCAUGUCACUGCAAAUGAUGUUACUUUGUUCUUUUUUUACAGCGGCGUAGUAUUCCGUGGUGUAUUUGUACCACAUUUUCCUUAUCCAGUCCGCCAGUGAGGGGCCCCUGGGUUGGCUCCAUGUUUUUGUUAUUGUGGACAGGGCUGUGAAAAACACGCAAGUAGCAGGCGUCUUUUGGUAGAGAUGCAUGCCCCUUUUUCAUGAAUCGUAGUGAGGUUGCUGGGUCGAUGAUAAAUCUGUCUUUAGUUCUUUGGGAAAUCUCCAGACUGCUUUACACAGGGGUUGAACUAGCUGACAUCCCCACCAACAGUGUACGAGUGUGUGAACUUUUAAAAUAAGGAAAUGUCCUAUUGAGAUUCUCUUGCCAUCCAGUAAUGUUUUUUUUUUUUUCCUGAAGUUUUAGGGCCAACUGCUAAAAACAGUAGUCUUGUAAUUGUUAACAUUCGUUUGUAAUAUUUCAGUUGCUUAGUUUUACCUUUUCUGGGUUUUGCGUUAUUUAUCUUGGCAUGCUUGUUCUGAAUUCCUUAUGGAUAAUGACAUAGUAAUUGUGAUUUUUCAUUGCCAGUUAAGCAGCAUUUGGCAACUCAGAUUUCCUGGAAGCUUGUCUUUACUGUGUUAAGUGAGUCAGGUGUGCGUUCUUAUUUCUCUUGUUUCUCAUUUUGCUGUAUCAGUGGGUGGUAAGUGCUUUGCAUAUCUUGAAACCCUUAAAGGAUCUUGAAGCAAUUCAACCUUUGGUGUGUAUUGUAUAUGCAUGGUCUUUAUUGUAAAGGCAGUGUGUUCCCUUACCCAGAAUGAGACAGAAUUGUUUUGCUUUGUUUCAUUUUUCUGUGUUGCAAUAGCAGAUGCAUGAUCGAAGUAGAAAUAUUUGGUUCCUUUAAUUCCUCUGAAAACAUGAAUAUUCUGAGUUCUACAAAACAAUGAAUGUAGGACCUAGACGUGUGUAAUCCUGCUUUGCAGAUGUCUGAUCAGAUAGUCCCUUUAUUCUAUACAUUUUUAUUGGUUCUUACUGUGUACAAGACACGGUGGGUAGGAGCUCUGACGUGCAAAACUAGAUGAGACAGUGCACUUUCUCAGAUGACUCUAGCUUCUGGCUUCUACUGAAACAAGAGUUUAGAGCAUAGAUGGAGAGGCACAAUAAAAUCUGUGUGUGCUUUGGAAAGAUAAUAUAUACAGAGGGACUCUCCCUCUUUUUUGUUCUUUAAAUCUGUUUUAAAAUUAGAACUGCUUCCAUUUGUUUGAACAAUAGAUAACUAUUAGAGAUUUAAUUUAAUGAACAUUUUUUAUCAUUUUCCAAGGUAUGUGUGUAUUAUAAAUAUGUAUACAUGUAAUUACGGCGCAUGAUAUGUUACGUGUUCACUGUAAACAUUUGGCUUCCAUAAUUCUUUAAACAAAAGGAAAUCGCCAUUGGUGAAAUGGACCAGAUGAACAACUCUUGAAUGGUGGCUGCAACCUUCUGGUCGUCCAGGUAGAAAGUAGAUGAUGGCAUCCCAGACUCGUUAUCUUCUAGCCCCAGCAAUGUGGUCGUUCCAGAAAGACCAGACAUACUCUAGGGGCUGACCACACCUCCACACCAUCUUGGAAAGGGAAGCCUGCCGUGGUCCCGCUGCAUGGCAGGGCUAAGAUGAGCUCCUGAGGCUGCAGCUUUUGUGAUGCGGUAUUGGACUCUGAAAAAAUAGACUGAAAUCAUUACUCAAAAAGCAAGCAGGAAGUAUCUGGCAAAUCUCUUAUGAUCAGCCGUUUGGAUACAGCAGGGAAAACGUGUGCACACAACCCACAUUUACAGUGUAACCGGCACUCUCUCAUUUUGCUCCACAUAACCUGACUUGAAAAUGUUAGUACUGGUUGGGUGUGGCUCCUGAGUUCAUGUGAGUCCCUUUCUUGGAAGGAAGGUCCUUUGCAUGCGGCUGAAUUUGAGAUGAGAGUCAUGAAACAGGAACGAGGUGACAGAGUGAAGCCUCCGCUGUCCCCGAGCCUCGGUAGAGACAGAGUGAAGGAGGCACUUCACGUUGUGUGAGUGGACACACAUGUCCCGGAUGGAGUCUCCCUUGCAUAAUAGUAAAUUCCCAUUCUUCUUCUGUCUUCUCAUCGCCAAGUCACUUUCGGGUAUGCUCUGUAUGACAGACCUAAAAUGUGAAGGGGAUAUGGUGUGGCCUUUUCUCAUCACCACUAAUUUUAAUUUUCUUUUUCUUGGAAAAGGCCACCUCAACUUGUGUGAGGAAAAAUUGUAACUCCUCAUGAACCCUCUCCUUUAUCUUUUUUUCUUAACUGUUCAGGUCAUGUUGUUAUUAACAUCCUGCUUAAUUUGUGAUGCACAUAAUCUUUAUGUGAAUGUAAGAAUCUGUCACAAUAGAGAAAAGCAGAAAUUAUAGUUGGAGGACACGUCGUAAGGGGGACAAAAAUAUUUAACCCUAUAAUGUUUUACUCUCAUCGCCACUAAUUUUUUUUUUUUUGCAGAAAAAGCUAAAAACUGUAAUUAUUAUGUUUACUUAUUUAUACUUUUAAAUUAGACUUUUCACACUUAUUUAUUUAAUUUUUUUAGACAUUUGCUUUUGAUAUUUGUUUAAUGUGGAAACUAUGAGUAUUUAAACAAUCAGAUCCUUAAGAUAAUAGAUAUGCUCUUAAGCAUUCAUGUCAUUAACAAUAAUUCUUUGAAUUUUCAUCAGGUUUAUUGGCUCUGUACAACUCUUUCUUUAAUGACAUUUCUAAAUUUUCCGUGACUUGUUAAUAAAAACAGGCAACAUAUGAAGGUAAUGUUAUAAAAUUAUUUUAUUGCAUAUUUCUCAUUUCUUGAGAAAAUGAGUAAAUAAACCUAGAUGCUGUUUUAUCAGUGUGUAGGUUUUUGUACAUUUGGAAAUAGGAAUUUAAUUGAGAGACGUUUCCCUUAUGUAGAGAGCUACCAUUUCAUUUGAUGUUCAGACCUCUAACGUCCACUUUGACUUUACAGUCUCUGAAAUGGCUAGAUAGUGCCCUUUGGGAAACCUUAUUCUUUGCACGUGUUAUUCCAAGUCUACCUCAGUUGGCCAGGCUUGAUUUUAGACAGGAACGAACUGAAUUAAACCCAGUUCCUCUUCUGUGCAGAUCUGUUUCUUAAGCACUUCUCUUCUGUUCUUGCCCUCCUCCCAUCAACUUUUUUUUAACCCUGAAAUUUUUAUUUAAAAUAUUCUCUCUUCUUCCUGUGCAAAGCCACGUGCUCUGAACACGGCCCCUGUGAUACGCCUCACCUGCGCUCUCGUCUUUGUGACGCCAGCUUCACCUUCCGGAUGUCCCUUGUUCUGUGCAGUGGACACGUCCUCCCAUUUCUCAUGGCUUCGUAAUAUAGACUAAUGUGAUGGCAUCGAACAUUUUGGAGACCGUCCGACAAACCACUCCUGUAUUUAUUCUCUGAGAACUGAAGUACUUUAUGCAAACACACAAGACUGGACAAAAAUGUAUGCACAUGGCGUGGGCAGCGGCGUAGCCUGCCACUAGCACUGUGUGGACGCGGUGUCCGUAGCAUCGCUAUGUGUUCCCGGGGCUUGCAAGUGUGUUGCAACGAUUUCUGUUUUGGUGUCUGUCUCCCAGUGUCUGAACCUAAUUUAAAGAAUAGACAUUUCUAAUUAUAUUUAUUAAACAUGUUUUUCCUUACAUUUUGUGCUGCUGCUUUACUGGUCUCAUGAGCUUAAUUGUAUUCGUGUGCAGGUUGUAAUUUAGCAAUAAAUUUCAAGUGUUGGC
Long non-coding RNA from Carlito syrichta (Philippine tarsier), 5724 nucleotides. RefSeq lists it as uncharacterized. The record is from RefSeq and is a predicted model, not a curated record. NCBI's taxonomy places the organism in Eukaryota, Metazoa, Chordata, Mammalia, Primates, Tarsiidae. The transcript is spliced from 2 exons.